AAAUUGAAGAGUUUGAUCAUGGCUCAGAUUGAACGCUGGCGGCAGGCCUAACACAUGCAAGUCGAACGGUAACAGGAAGCAGCUUGCUGCUUUGCUGACGAGUGGCGGACGGGUGAGUAAUGUCUGGGAAACUGCCUGAUGGAGGGGGAUAACUACUGGAAACGGUGGCUAAUACCGCAUAACGUCGCAAGACCAAAGAGGGGGACCUUCGGGCCUCUUGCCAUCAGAUGUGCCCAGAUGGGAUUAGCUAGUUGGUGAGGUAACGGCUCACCAAGGCGACGAUCCCUAGCUGGUCUGAGAGGAUGACCAGCCACACUGGAACUGAGACACGGUCCAGACUCCUACGGGAGGCAGCAGUGGGGAAUAUUGCACAAUGGGCGCAAGCCUGAUGCAGCCAUGCCGCGUGUAUGAAGAAGGCCUUAGGGUUGUAAAGUACUUUCAGCGGGGAGGAAGGUGUUGUGGUUAAUAACCGCAGCAAUUGACGUUACCCGCAGAAGAAGCACCGGCUAACUCCGUGCCAGCAGCCGCGGUAAUACGGAGGGUGCAAGCGUUAAUCGGAAUUACUGGGCGUAAAGCGCACGCAGGCGGUCUGUCAAGUCGGAUGUGAAAUCCCCGGGCUCAACCUGGGAACUGCAUUCGAAACUGGCAGGCUUGAGUCUUGUAGAGGGGGGUAGAAUUCCAGGUGUAGCGGUGAAAUGCGUAGAGAUCUGGAGGAAUACCGGUGGCGAAGGCGGCCCCCUGGACAAAGACUGACGCUCAGGUGCGAAAGCGUGGGGAGCAAACAGGAUUAGAUACCCUGGUAGUCCACGCCGUAAACGAUGUCUACUUGGAGGUUGUGCCCUUGAGGCGUGGCUUCCGGAGCUAACGCGUUAAGUAGACCGCCUGGGGAGUACGGCCGCAAGGUUAAAACUCAAAUGAAUUGACGGGGGCCCGCACAAGCGGUGGAGCAUGUGGUUUAAUUCGAUGCAACGCGAAGAACCUUACCUGGUCUUGACAUCCACAGAACUUUCCAGAGAUGGAUUGGUGCCUUCGGGAACUGUGAGACAGGUGCUGCAUGGCUGUCGUCAGCUCGUGUUGUGAAAUGUUGGGUUAAGUCCCGCAACGAGCGCAACCCUUAUCCUUUGUUGCCAGCGAUUAGGUCGGGAACUCAAAGGAGACUGCCAGUGAUAAACUGGAGGAAGGUGGGGAUGACGUCAAGUCAUCAUGGCCCUUACGACCAGGGCUACACACGUGCUACAAUGGCGCAUACAAAGAGAAGCGACCUCGCGAGAGCAAGCGGACCUCAUAAAGUGCGUCGUAGUCCGGAUUGGAGUCUGCAACUCGACUCCAUGAAGUCGGAAUCGCUAGUAAUCGUGGAUCAGAAUGCCACGGUGAAUACGUUCCCGGGCCUUGUACACACCGCCCGUCACACCAUGGGAGUGGGUUGCAAAAGAAGUAGGUAGCUUAACCUUCGGGAGGGCGCUUACCACUUUGUGAUUCAUGACUGGGGUGAAGUCGUAACAAGGUAACCGUAGGGGAACCUGCGGUUGGAUCACCUCCUUACCUGAAAGAA
This 1552-nucleotide ribosomal RNA is filed under the name Salmonella enterica subsp. enterica serovar Braenderup str. ATCC BAA-664. RNAcentral describes it as "bacterial SSU rRNA". It matches the Rfam family "Bacterial small subunit ribosomal RNA". The record is from RNAcentral. Lineage: Bacteria; Pseudomonadati; Pseudomonadota; Gammaproteobacteria; Enterobacterales; Enterobacteriaceae.